RNAcentral lists this ribosomal RNA (253 nucleotides) under uncultured bacterium. RNAcentral's name for it is "partial 16S ribosomal RNA". It matches the Rfam family "Bacterial small subunit ribosomal RNA", at positions 524 to 776 of the family's 1533-position model. The record is from RNAcentral.
UACAGAGGCCCCAAGCGUUACUGAGAAUCACUGGGCGUAAAGCGCACGUAGGCGGAUUUUUAAGUCAGGGGUGAAAUCCCGAGGCUCAACCUCGGAACUGCCUUUGAUACUGGGGAUCUGGAGUCCGGGAGAGGUGAGCGGAACUGCGAGUGUAGAGGUGAAAUUCGUAGAUAUUCGCAAGAACACCAGUGGCGAAGGCGGCUCACUGGCCCGGAACUGACGCUGAGGUGCGAAAGCGUGGGGAGCAAACAGG